This is a long non-coding RNA of Oryzias melastigma (Indian medaka), 564 nucleotides long. RefSeq lists it as uncharacterized. The transcript is spliced from 4 exons. The record is from RefSeq and is a predicted model, not a curated record. Lineage: Eukaryota; Metazoa; Chordata; Actinopteri; Beloniformes; Adrianichthyidae.
CCACCUCCUGCAGUAGGAAGUUCCCGUUCAAGGCCUCCUAAAUAUAGUCAUAGAACUCGUGUGUGGACCGGUCACCUGGCCCGCUGCGUCACCAGCAACUCCUGGCUCGGCGAGAUCUAGAGGAGCCAAAGAAGGAGCAGAUCUGUGAAAUGUUGGGAUAACAGUAUGUUCAGAGGAUUAGUGAAGACCAGCAAUGCUGUAGUCUGGUGGAACAGGAAGUGGCAGAAAGUCAAGGAACGUUCCUCUCCGGUUCUCUAAGCUGAGCAGCAGCCUCUCGGAAUCGCGGCGAGUGAUUUUGCCAAAGUACCACCUGGAGAGGAAGAAAAAAACACCAAACAUAUAAGAACAUGCUAAUGCCUCCAGAGCAGCAGCUGCUUACCUGGAGUCUAGAGUCAGUUUGAGAUCACUGGAGGAGCAGGAGGCAGAGAGUGAGAAAUAAAGUUGUUACAAAAGGUCAGCUUGUGAGGUUUACUGUAAGCAAGCAGGUCAGCAUGAGCAUGCAGUAAAUGUUACACAGAGGGAACACAUGUUUGCCUUUUUGGAAAAGUAUUUGGAAACAAUUAG